AAGUCUAAAACGACUCUCGGCAACGGAUAUCUCGGCUCUCGCAUCGAUGAAGAACGUAGCGAAAUGCGAUACUUGGUGUGAAUUGCAGAAUCCCGUGAACCAUCGAGUCUUUGAACGCAAGUUGCGCCCUAAGCCUUCUGGCCGAGGGCACGUCUGCCUGGGUGUCACAA
RNAcentral lists this ribosomal RNA (170 nucleotides) under Dilophia salsa. RNAcentral describes it as "5.8S ribosomal RNA". It matches the Rfam family "5.8S ribosomal RNA". Rfam says of the family: 5.8S ribosomal RNA (5.8S rRNA) is a component of the large subunit of the eukaryotic ribosome. It is transcribed by RNA polymerase I as part of the 45S precursor that also contains 18S and 28S rRNA. Functionally, it is thought that 5.8S rRNA may be involved in ribosome translocation. Lineage: Eukaryota; Viridiplantae; Streptophyta; Magnoliopsida; Brassicales; Brassicaceae. The record is from RNAcentral.